UCCGAUUUCCCCUGACAGCUCCACAAAGCCUCUUUUCACAGCAAUGACACAGAUCUUUCCCCAAUAUACCUUUUUUUCUGGGAAGGGGAGCCUUAAUCUUUUUGGAUUUGACUCAUAUUAGUUCUGGGAACACAGGUGGCCUUGCACUAGGAGAAAAUUGCCAACAUUCUUUUUUUGGAUCAUUCCGUCGACAUGAAGCUAUCACCAUCGUGUGGAGCUCCCGAGAACCUCGCCAGCAGACCUGUUCUGAAGAAAAUCACCACUGAUGGGACAUUGUCAUUUCCUAGUAAUGUUGUUGGGAUCAUUUGAAACUGUAAACACUUGCAGGGAGCUGUAGAACAUUCAACAUGGCUCAUGAUUUUAGGUCUUACCCUGCAAAUUAUGGGCAAUAUAAAUGAACUGG
Molecule: long non-coding RNA, 403 nt
Organism: Syngnathus acus (greater pipefish)
Lineage: Eukaryota; Metazoa; Chordata; Actinopteri; Syngnathiformes; Syngnathidae
Exons: 2
Source: RefSeq, a predicted model, not a curated record